UACGUAGGGGGCGAGCGUUGUCCGGAUUUAUUGGGCGUAAAGAGCGUGUAGGCGGCCAGGUAGGUCUGCUGUGAAAACUGGAGGCUUAACCUCCAGACGUCGACGGAAACCGCGUGGCUAGAGUCCGGAAGAGGAGAGUGGAAUUCCUGGUGUAGCGGUGAAAUGCGCAGAUAUCAGGAAGAACACCAAUGGCGAAGGCAGCUCUCUGGGACGGUACUGACGCUGAGACGCGAAAGCGUGGGGAGCGAACAGG
RNAcentral lists this ribosomal RNA (253 nucleotides) under uncultured bacterium. RNAcentral's name for it is "partial 16S ribosomal RNA". It matches the Rfam family "Bacterial small subunit ribosomal RNA", at positions 524 to 776 of the family's 1533-position model. The record is from RNAcentral.